This 148-nucleotide small RNA is filed under the name Macaca fascicularis (crab-eating macaque). RNAcentral's name for it is "Metazoan signal recognition particle RNA (ENSMFAG00000064619.1)". Lineage: Eukaryota; Metazoa; Chordata; Mammalia; Primates; Cercopithecidae. The record is from Rfam by way of RNAcentral. RNAcentral also lists the same sequence under 1 other name.
GCCGGGCAUGGUGGCGCAUGCCUGCAGUCCCAGCUACUCAGGAGGCUGAGGCAGGAGAAUCACUUGAACCCAGGAGGUGAAGGUUGCAGUGAGCUGAGAUCAUGCCACUGCACUCCAGCCUGGGCAACACAGUGAAACUCUGUCUCAA